AAAAAGUUUACAACAGACUCCGAGAUAAAUCUACUGGGAAAUCAAUGAAAAAUGGAAAAAAGACUGCCAAGUUGGGAAUAUCAUAACCAUGUUCUAAGAAGAGCCACAUCUAGAAAUGAUUAUUCCCUAAAUGAUUUGGCAAAAAAAAGCCGACUUACAUGCUUUAGGUGCAAGUGUGCUUGACUGGCAAUGUCAUAUAUUACAUCUCUCACAUUUUUAUCUUGGUUCCUCCGUAGAAAGUCCUCUUGUGAAACACCAUGCUGUGUGGGGAAAUAUACAUUAUAUUAGGAACCUAAAAGCACUUCCUUCCAACAGUUCACCUAGGAAAGAAAAUUAAACUAACAAUUAAAACUAACUUAGCACAAGAGAACACGUGACAGAACAGUAUGUACAGUUUAAUGCCUAUUUUGUCUUUAGAAAUGUAUGUGAGCACGUGCGUGUGUGUGCAUGUGUGGAGAGAGAGAAAAAAAAACAAAAAUGAGAGAGUGACACCUGGAACAUGCAACAAGAUUUUUUGUUUUUUGAGACAGGGUCUUACUCUGUCACCCAGGCUGAAGCUGUAAUGGCUGUAGAUCCUUGAUUAUAAAAUAUAGCUCUGAUUCAGAAGGAAAUCGGAGACCAAGGUAAAAAAGUAAAUAUUUUAAAGAAGUUGGAAAUCUGCUGAAUGAAGUGUGAACUCUGGAAACUGAAGCCAAAUAGAAGAAAGACCUUGGUUAUAAACAUAAAUUCAAACUGCAGCUAAAAUUCAUACAGAGAAAU
This 759-nucleotide long non-coding RNA is filed under the name Homo sapiens (human). RNAcentral describes it as "HSALNT0140599". The record is from RNAcentral. Lineage: Eukaryota; Metazoa; Chordata; Mammalia; Primates; Hominidae.